GCUGUCUGGCUGCCGACGCUCGUGCCGCACGCUAAGAAGAGGGAAGGUUACCAACCGGGUCUCGGGACGGAAGGACAGGGAGCGGAGAGGAGCGUUUUGGUGUACACGGUGGUGGCCACAUCUCAACCUUGAUGAGCACAGUGAAAAGGAUGUUGUUUGACGGGCCGGUGUGUCGUCCUUGGACAUCCCCAGAAGAUCGAUUCCAGCAUGCCUGUGGAUACCUAAAUCUGAGCACGACCCACUCUCCUGCUCUCUCGCGUGGUUUAAUGUUUCUGUGUAACUUGCACACCCUCCUGGACACAUUAAACCAUCUCUAGAUGGUUGAUCAUAUGUAAUGUAAAUGUCAUUUUCAUGGCCGUUAUGCUAUAUUAAGGAAGAAAAAUUUCAUACGUGUUUGAUACAAUUUUUCCCAAAUAUUUUCCGUACAAACUUGUUUAAUCCAUGAACACGUAAUACUGUGUAUGCAUUCAUAUAAACAGAAAAAUUCCCAUUGUUUGGAAUGGAAGCAUUGGUAAAUUAACCUUUCAGAUUCAUAUAUUGUUUUAAGUUUUCACAGGAGGGAUCCCACAUCGAAUACCACUGAAUAUUCAACUUAAUAUUUGUUAUUUUCCCUCUAAGGAUGACCAGACUGUCAUAGGAACCCCACUGGGUGCGGCUAGGGGCUGGAAUAAAAUCUUUAGCAAAAUGUA
Jaculus jaculus (lesser Egyptian jerboa) is the source of this 689-nucleotide long non-coding RNA. RefSeq lists it as uncharacterized. Lineage: Eukaryota; Metazoa; Chordata; Mammalia; Rodentia; Dipodidae. The record is from RefSeq and is a predicted model, not a curated record. The transcript is spliced from 2 exons.